Molecule: unclassified non-coding RNA, 203 nt
Filed under: Hevea brasiliensis (rubber tree)
Lineage: Eukaryota; Viridiplantae; Streptophyta; Magnoliopsida; Malpighiales; Euphorbiaceae
Source: RNAcentral
AAAGUAUAUUUUAUAGAAGUAUAGUAAGAGAUAGUAAUAAAUAAGUAUGAUAAAAGAUUUUUACGGUUAAAUAUGUUUGAGGAAUAUUGGUUAUAAUAGUAUUGUUGUAGAAUUUAGAAAAGUUUUUUAUGGUGUAGGUUGUAUAUUUUUAAUAGGGGGUUAUAUUUUAAAGUAGGAAUUAGUAAGUUAUUGUUAUUUAUGGU